AAACCAACUGGGAUUACCUUAGUAACGGCGAGUGAAGCGGUAAAAGCUCAAAUUUGAAAUCUGGUACUUUCAGUGCCCGAGUUGUAAUUUGUAGAAUUUGUCUUUGAUUAGGUCCUUGUCUAUGUUCCUUGGAACAGGACGUCAUAGAGGGUGAGAAUCCCGUUUGGCGAGGAUACCUUUUCUCUGUAAGACUUUUUCGAAGAGUCGAGUUGUUUGGGAAUGCAGCUCAAAGUGGGUGGUAAAUUCCAUCUAAAGCUAAAUAUUGGCGAGAGACCGAUAGCGAACAAGUACAGUGAUGGAAAGAUGAAAAGAACUUUGAAAAGAGAGUGAAAAAGUACGUGAAAUUGUUGAAAGGGAAGGGCAUUUGAUCAGACAUGGUGUUUUUUGCAUGCACUCGCCUCUCGUGGGCUUGGGCCUCUCAAAAAUUUCACUGGGCCAACAUCAGUUCUGGCAGCAGGAUAAAUCAUUAAGAAUGUAGCUACCUCGGUAGUGUUAUAGCUUAUUGGAAUACUGCUAGCUGGGAUUGAGGACUGCG
This 535-nucleotide ribosomal RNA is filed under the name Hanseniaspora guilliermondii. Its description in RNAcentral is "partial large subunit ribosomal RNA". It matches the Rfam family "Eukaryotic large subunit ribosomal RNA", at positions 62 to 599 of the family's 3401-position model. Lineage: Eukaryota; Fungi; Ascomycota; Saccharomycetes; Saccharomycodales; Saccharomycodaceae. The record is from RNAcentral.